UGACUGACUAACUCUUGUCUUCUGGUACUC
This 30-nucleotide non-coding RNA is filed under the name Mus musculus (house mouse). The record is from RNAcentral. Lineage: Eukaryota; Metazoa; Chordata; Mammalia; Rodentia; Muridae.